Molecule: ribosomal RNA, 323 nt
Filed under: uncultured bacterium
Lineage: Bacteria
Description: partial 16S ribosomal RNA
Rfam family: Bacterial small subunit ribosomal RNA
Source: RNAcentral
UGGGGAAUAUUGGACAAUGGGGGCAACCCUGAUCCAGCAAUGCCGCGUGUGUGAAGAAGGUCUUCGGAUUGUAAAGCACUUUCGACGGGGACGAUGAUGACGGUACCCGUAGAAGAAGCCCCGGCUAACUUCGUGCCAGCAGCCGCGGUAAUACGAAGGGGGCUAGCGUUGCUCGGAAUGACUGGGCGUAAAGGGCGUGUAGGCGGUUUACACAGUCAGAUGUGAAAUCCCCGGGCUUAACCUGGGAGCUGCAUUUGAUACGUGUAGACUAGAGUGUGAGAGAGGGUUUGUGGAAUUCCCAGUGUAGAGGUGAAAUUCGUAGA